This 5305-nucleotide long non-coding RNA is filed under the name Brassica rapa (field mustard). Its description in RNAcentral is "long non-coding RNA (BRAP_LNC008707)". Lineage: Eukaryota; Viridiplantae; Streptophyta; Magnoliopsida; Brassicales; Brassicaceae. The record is from RNAcentral.
UCCAUUAAUUGAUUUAAUGUCUCAGAUACAAGUUAUAAAUGAAGAGAUAAGGCUGAUACAAAGGGGAUUUCGAAAUGGGACUCAAAGCAUGUGAAGUCAAGGCUAGCUGGCUGCUGAGAGGCUUCACAUGCUUGGACAGGCUGUAAAGUAGCUUUACCUUUCCAACUAUGACCAGACCUUAUCCAAACAGCUCCUCCCUUAUCCAUACUCCUCUUGGGCGUGCUUCUCCUCACCAAAGUGAUCCAAGGUAACUUCCUAAGCCUUUAACUUAGUUACCACAGUAAAACUAAAGUUACUGUGGUAAAACUCCAAAGUUACCAUCUGCCCCAAUACUCUUCCUCUAUCCAUGUAUCAACUCUUCAUCACCUCAUCUCAACACUCCCCCUCAAGCUUGACCAUGUAGAACAAGUCAAGCUUGGAAACCAUGAAGACCUCCCUCAUUAAAAACCUCACCAAGGAAAACCCAAUGGGAUAAAACCUUGAUGAGGGAAAAAGAGUGGAGACUCCAUGGUUAAGGGGCUCAGCUCCUAGGAGUAAGAUCAAUGAGUCCAAGUCUUGAUAGUAUGGACUCCAUUGUCUUUAAUCUCGCUGCCUUAGUAAACACAUCUGCAAGCUGAUCUUCACUUCUUGUAUAACAUGGCAAUAUCACUCCAAGUAUAAUCAUCUGCCUCACCUUGUGGCAAUCAACUUCUAUAUGCUUCGUCCUCUCAUGAAAGACUGAGUUAGAAGCAAUGUGGAUAGCUGCUUGAUUGUCACAAUGCAUUGUCAUAGGAGUACUCUGCUCAAUCUCCAAAUGCUUCAAGAUCCCCUUGAUCCACACCAACUCGUUUGUCAGCUUCAACAUGGCUCUAUACUCAGCUUCAGCACUUGAACAGGAGAUAACCUUCUGCUUCUUACUCUUCCAAGUGACCAAGUUCCCUCCAAUGAAUGUACAAUACCCAGUAGUUGAUCUCCUGUCCACUCUAUCUCCUGCCCAAUCAGCAUCACAAUAUCCAACCACUUCUGUACUGCCAUUACAACCCAUCCAAACUCCUUGACCAGACGUGCCACUCAAAUACCUCAGUAUCCUAUCAACCAUCUUCCAAUGAUGAACCUUUGGUGCCUGCAUAUGCUGGCUCACUUGAUUCACUGCAAAGCAUAUAUCAGGUCUUGUAAUCGUCAAGUAGAUCAGCUUUCCAACCAUCCUCCUAUACAGCUUAGCAUCCUCAAACAACUGGUUCUCUUCAACCUCCCCCUCACGCAAGACCUUAUACCCCUCCUCAAGAGGUGUCUUAGCUAUCUUUCCUCCAAGCACAUCAGUUUCCUUCAGCAUAUCCAUUGCAUACUUCCUUUGAGACAUGAACAAACCCUCCUUUGAUCUGCAUAUCUCAAUCCCCAAGAAAUACUUCAUCUCUCCCAAGUCUUUGAUAUCAAAUACUGACCUGAGAAACUCUUUAGUGGCUUUAAUCCCAGCCUUAUCACUUCCUGUGAUAAUCAAAUCAUCCACAUACACUAGAAUCACAAUGAUCCCUGAUGGUCCGACCAGUGUGAAGAGUGUGUGAUCUAGUUCAGACUUCCUGAACCCUCUCCCAUUGAGUGUUGUACUCAGCUUCCUGUACCAGGCUCUAGGAGAUUGCUUCAACCCAUAUAUAGCUUUCUUCAAUCUCAAAACAUUUCCUGGCUUCACUAGAUGCUCAAGACCAGGAGGAGGAAGCAUAUAUACCUCAUCUUCUAGCUCACCUUGCAGGAAAGCAUUCUUCACAUCCAUCUGCCACAAAUCCCACUCCAAGUUUGUUGCAAUGGAUAACACAAUUCGAAUUGUGUGAAGCUUGGCCACUGGUGCAAAAGUAUCAAUGUAAUCUUCUCCAUAAGUCUGUGUAAAUCCUCUUGCAACCAGCCUGGUCUUGUGCCUAUCUAUCUCCCCAUUUGCAAGAUAUUUGAUGGUGAAGAUCCAUCUGCUUGAAACUGCCUUCUUCCCUCUAGGUAACUCACUCUCAUACCAAGUGUCAUUCCUGAUCAUUGCAUCCCUUUCAUCUCCUACUGAAUCUCUCCAAACCUUGUGCUUCAUAGCUUCUUCAUAAGAUCUUGGUAUCUCACUCUCAUCCAAGUUACACAUAAACACCAUGUGCUCUUCUGGAUAUUCUGCAAAGGAACACACGGCUUGAGAAGGAUGCUCCACAGCCUGAGCAUUGUAGUACACUCUCGUGUUUACCCAGUUGGAAGCAUCCCUCUUUAUCCUUGUGCUUCUCCGCAAAACCUGAACUUGUUCUUCUUCUUGUGCUUCUUGCUGCACACCUUCACUAGACUGAGCUCCACUCUCCUCUGAACCAGUAGACUGAUCCACACUCUCAUCUGAACCAGUAGACUGAGCCACACUCUCCCCUGAACCAGGAGACUCUCCUUGCCCAUCUCCACUAGACUGAGCACCAUCCUCUUGAUUAUGAUGAUCUGAAUCUUCUUGGUUUUGCUCUUGCUCACCUGAUUCAGAUCCAUUCCCCCUCUCAUGAUCAAGAGGAGUUGUCCUUCCAGCUUCUCCAGCCUGAUUAGAAGGCUCUCUCCUUCCUUGUUCCUGAUCCUGGGAUAAACCUAUCCCUAGCUUCUCCAACAACACUCUCAGUAUUGUUGCCUUAUUAGAGGGAGCUUGAGAUAAAUCCUUCAGAUCCUCCCACUUCUUUUCUUCAUAAUACCCUUUUGUUUCUACAAACUUCACUUCUCUAGAUACCAUCACCCUCCUUGCUUCAGGAUCAUAGCACUUGUACCCCUUUUGAGUGAUAGAGUAACCAAUGAACAUAGCCUUAGUACUCUUUGCCUCCAGCUUGUUUCUCUGCUCUCCUGGAACCAUGACAUAGCACACACACCCAAAGACACGUAGGUGAUCAAUGAAAGGUUUGCUCUUGUUCAACACUUCAAAUGGAGACAGAUUCUUCAAUAUCUUGGUUGGAACCCGGUUGAUGAGAUAGCAAGCAGUCUGCACAGCAUCACUCCAAAAACGUUUUGGGACAUUUGCAUGAAACAUCAUUGAUCUAGCAACCUCCAUCAAGUGCCUGUUCUUCCUCUCAGCUACACCAUUCUGUUGUGGUGUAUAAGGGCAGCUAGUCUGAUGCACAAUCCCAUGCUUGGCUAGAUGACUCUUGAAGGCAUUACUGAUGUAUUCACCUCCAUUGUCUGAUCUCAGUACCUUCACAGUAGCAUUGUACUGAUUAGUAACAUAAGCUUGGAAGUUUAUAAAAGCUUCUAACACCCUAUCUUUAGAUGGAAGCAAUGUGAGCCAAGUAUACUUUGACUUCUCAUCAAUGAAUGUCACAAAGUAUUUUUGACUGUCCCUAGACACACAUGGAGAUGUCCACACAUCCGAGUGGAUCAAUUCAAAACAAUGCUCAUAAGUAGUCUCAGAAGUUGGGAACACAGUCCUACAAUGCUUUCCUAAUAUGCAAGCCUCACACUCUAAGUGAUUAAAUGACAUAUUAGGCAUGAUCAAUUCAAUUGCACGAGCAUGAGGAUGUCCCAAUCUAGCAUGCCAAGUCAUACUAUCACACCUAUCAACAGCACUACUUAAGCACACAGAAUCAAAGGGUUUAGAAUUCUUAGCCAUUUGAAGAUGGUAUAGCUGAUUCUUGCUGUCCCCUCUGCCAAUAACUCUCCCAGUCUUCAAAUCUUGAAACUCCACUUCAUCAGGUCUGAAUACUACUUGACAAUCAAGAUCAAUGGUAGCUUUCUUCACAGAUAACAGAUUUGAAGUGAACCGGGGCAUGUAGAAGGCAGUUGUGUCCUUCUCAAACAGUUUGAGCUUUCCCACUCCUUCUAUUGGGAUCAUAGCACCAUUAGCUAUCAUAACACUCCCUGUUGCAGCCUUGAUCUCACUUAUAAGUCUCCUAUCACUGAUCAUAUGAUGGCUUGCUCCAGAAUCAAUCACAAUGGGUUUAGGAGCUCCGAUUGUACACCAUGUUUCUUGCUUGCUGCUAAAGCUUGUACAUGUUCCAUGAACACUCUCCACUCCUUCCUGGUGAUGCAAUCAUCAGCUCCACCCUCUUUCUCUCCUGCUCUCUUAACACCACACUGUCUUCUACUGAUUCACCCAUGUAGGCUGAGUAAGAACACUCUCCUCUCACUACUAGUUGCGCAGCCUCCUUGAUCAUCUUCAAGCUCAUCUUGUCACUCAGAUAACCAGACUCACUGUCCUUCCUCCAAGCCUUUCUCCUCAUGAACCAUACUUUGGAAAGCUUUCUCAACCUUCCCUUCUUACAGUUUGUCACACCCUUCCACUGAAUUGACUUCUUGUUCUUCUCACACACAUCACAAAUGUAUUGAACAAGCUCACACAUCUCAUUCACAAGAAAGUUAAAGAUAACAUCUUGUUCUCUCCUUUCUUGCAUUACCUCUGGCCUUGCUGUAAGCUCCAGCCACACUUCUUUCAGCCUUCCCACAAGCUGAUAAAGCUCAUCCUUUCCUUGUUUCCAGUCACAGAUCACUCUCUUGUCCUCACUGCCCUUCACAGGUUUGGACCUUUCUUCACUAGCUGCUUCAAUCCCACUCUUUCUAGUGAUCUCUUGAACAGCUUCAUCUUCAAAAAUAACCAACUCCUUUAAAGGUUCUUCCUUUAUCUGAUUACUCCAAAUCCCACAGCUUCCAAAAACUGUUUUCACCCAAUCUGACCAGAUCCACUCGUUUUCUCUCCCUUUCUUCACUUGAUAACUUGAUCUUGUCUUCAUCUCUCUGCAAAGUCGUUUGAUUCCAUCAGAUGCCCUCAAUCAAACCCAUCAGAUGAAGAACAUAGCUCAAAAACCACCAAGAACACUCAAGAACACCAAGAACAGCUCAAGAACACAAACCCAGAUUUUUAAAAACAAGAAUAACACACUCCCACCCUUUUAGUAACCUGGCUCUGAUACCAUAUACACUUUUGUGUAUUAGAGUGUGUUUAAGAACAAUCAGAUUGUUUUGUGUAAGAUUAAAGAGAUUAAGAGAAUAAGUAGAGAGAGAAUAGAGAGAAUACUCAAAACUCCAUUAAUUGAUUUAAUGUCUCAGAUACAAGUUAUAAAUGAAGAGAUAAGGCUGAUACAAAGGGGAUUUCGAAAUGGGACUCAAAGCAUGUGAAGUCAAGGCUAGCUGGCUGCUGAGAGGCUUCACAUGCUUGGACAGGCUGUAAAGUAGCUUUACCUUUCCAACUAUGACCAGACCUUAUCCAAACAGCUCCUCCCUUAUCCAUACUCCUCUUGGGCGUGCUUCUCCUCACCAAAGUGAUCCAGGUAACUUCCUAAGCCUUUAACUUAGUUACCACAGUAAAACUAAAGUUACUGUGGUAAAACUCCAAAGUUACCAUCUGCCC